GUGGGGAAUAUUGGACAAUGGGCGCAAGCCUGAUCCAGCCAUGCCGCGUGAGUGAUGAAGGCCCUAGGGUUGUAAAGCUCUUUCACCGGAGAAGAUAAUGACGGUAUCCGGAGAAGAAGCCCCGGCUAACUUCGUGCCAGCAGCCGCGGUAAUACGAAGGGGGCUAGCGUUGUUCGGAUUUACUGGGCGUAAAGCGCACGUAGGCGGAUUGGUCAGUUAGAGGUGAAAUCCCGAAGCUCAACUUCGGAACUGCCUUUAAUACUGCCAGUCUCGAGUCCGGAAGAGGUGAGUGGAACUCCUAGUGUAGAGGUGGAAUUCGUAGAUAUUAGGAAGAACACCAGUGGCGAAGGCGGCUCACUGGUCCGGUACUGACGCUGAGGUGCGAAAGCGUGGGGAGCAAACAGGAUUAGAUACCCCGGUAGUCC
RNAcentral lists this ribosomal RNA (425 nucleotides) under uncultured bacterium. RNAcentral describes it as "partial 16S ribosomal RNA". It matches the Rfam family "Bacterial small subunit ribosomal RNA", at positions 354 to 796 of the family's 1533-position model. The record is from RNAcentral.